Lolium rigidum is the source of this 1214-nucleotide long non-coding RNA. RefSeq lists it as uncharacterized. The record is from RefSeq and is a predicted model, not a curated record. Lineage: Eukaryota; Viridiplantae; Streptophyta; Magnoliopsida; Poales; Poaceae. The transcript is spliced from 7 exons.
CUCCCUCCUUCCCUGCCUCGAUCCACGCCGUCCGCUUCCCUCCACUGUGGAGCUCGCUGCGGGGAGACAAGGAGGAGGAGAUGGGGGCAACGUCGUCUUCCCGGUCACCGGCCACAUCCUGGACAACCUCCCCGAGGUUCGGAUGCCAGCCACGACCCCGACCUGCUGCUGCGGGACACCUCUUCGUCCCGCUUCCGUCGGCAGCCUCCCCGAGUUUGCACCUUCCCGGUGGCGGUCAGCUAAUACACCUGCAAUACGCCACCGCCGGCAGGAAAGAGCAUGGUGACAUGACAGUCAAGCUCGCUGACGGUCGCGGCCGGAGGGAGGAGCAUCGGCGGCUGCAUAAGCUCAUUGGCGGCGCAUUUCCUGGCUGUGGGGAAGCCUGGAGGACAGGCUGCUACCCCGAGCUUUUGAUUGCCAUUCAUGGGGACCUCCUGCCAGUGACUUCCCCGACCACCUCUCCGAGAUGCUGGUGGCAUUCCCAACCUCUUGCCGCUGACCACCACUAUGACUUGCCGCUGCUGGCAACCUCCCCAACAAGCUACUCCUGGAUUGAGCAUACAUAUAUGCAGUAGAUGGAAAUCCCUUUCAGUAAAUAAAACGUGCUAUGUGCAUAGGAUGGUCCAUACUUGUACAUUUUCCUGCUAUGCAUCUAUAAGAUGUAAGAUGGUAAAGAAGAAAAAAUCAAGAAAAAAGGCAUCCAGGUGCUCGGCAAAUGCCCCGCAGCUAUGAGUGCUUAUGAACAUGUCCAGCAGGCUACAGAGGACAACGUCAAUGCUGUGGUUCCCUCCGUGGUGCUAACUCGUCACAGCGGUGCACCUCAGAACACCAAGACGACAACUUGGAAGAUUCAAAACUUGUGAAGUAGCUUUAGUUGCAGAAAACACCAAACUGAAGCUGUCACUGGAGGAAGCUGUAAAUUUGCCGAGCUUAGCGAAAACUAUGGAUCAUGAGCAACAGUGGACGAAAUUGGAGAUCUUAGAUGAGGGAACUAAAGAAAGCCUAUAAGAACCUGAGCCGAACCAAGAGCCAAGAGGCACCCCUGCCCUGGCCUAGCUGACGACCCGAGGCUACAGUUGUUGUCGAGGUGCUUCUGCCACAGGGAGGAGGUGGCACAACACCUGGUCAUGGUGCUCCUAGCGGAACUCCAUGCUGGGGGAGACCACUUCAUCCUGCUGCCAUCCGCAACCUCCCCAAGCUUGCAGCUGCUCGGU